This 940-nucleotide long non-coding RNA is filed under the name Piliocolobus tephrosceles (Ugandan red Colobus). Its description in RNAcentral is "lncRNA (ENSPTEG00000009110.1)". Lineage: Eukaryota; Metazoa; Chordata; Mammalia; Primates; Cercopithecidae. The record is from RNAcentral.
CCCACCCAGCAGGCAGCUCCGCCUACCUUGGCUAUCCCCCUCUGAGUUCUUGACUUGAUUCUCCUGUUAUUGUCCUGCAAACCCACAUCCCUACAAAGCGGGAAAGUGUGCCUGGGAGAGGCCAUGUGAGUGGCGAGCCAGCCCAAAGCCAGGCGUCCAGGGUCUCCCUCACCUGAAGCUGACUUUUUCCCCAUCUUGGACAGAGGGCGGGAGAUGCCAUCCCCACUGAACCCAGUGCUUUCACCAGCCAUAUUAGCUCCCACCCACCCCCGCCGUGGAAGCCUCGGCUGUCACACCUGCAGGGCCGGGGCGUGCAUGGCCUCAGGGAUGGCCUGUUCAGCUGCUGAGUGACUCGGGUCCGGUGCCUCACCACCUGCUGAGCUCUGUGUGCUUUCUGGGCACUUCUGCUCAUUGCCUUUGGGCUCAGUGAAGAGUCUGGAGUUUAUGUGGAGUGAGGUGGUCGGGUCUUGGUGAGAUCUGAGCAGGACAGCAUCUGGCUCCUUCCCUUGGCUCAUGGCCCUCAGGGUCUGCGUCACACACACCCCAGCUCUCCCGACGGGUCUCUGCACUCGCUGUUGCCUCCGCCUGGAAGUCUUCCUCCUGGUGUCAUCGUCUCCGUGGUGCAUCCUUCCUGAUGUUCCACCUCCACCAGGUGCCGACACUUCCCUGACGCUGGUAUCCUCUUCUCGCGGAAUGGGGAGAAUCGUGCCUGCCCAGCCUCCUCCUUGGGGACCAAGAGGCCUAAAGAAUCAAGAGCUGCAAAUGUCCUCGUGGCCUUGGAAGUUUGUGGAUGGUACAGAUCUGGGGUGGAGGGCAUGCCCAAGACAGGGAGGGCUGUCGGGGAGAGGGUGUGUGGGCUUGUGGAGUGUGGGGUUCCGUCGCUGACUCAUUAGAUGAACCAGGGGCCUGCAUGCUGCAGCCCACCUGCCAAAUCUCACCG